This 203-nucleotide microRNA precursor is filed under the name Oryza glumipatula. RNAcentral's name for it is "MIR812 microRNA precursor family". It matches the Rfam family "MIR812 microRNA precursor family". The record is from Rfam by way of RNAcentral. Lineage: Eukaryota; Viridiplantae; Streptophyta; Magnoliopsida; Poales; Poaceae.
AAUAAAUGCAGCCAUAUUUUUUCAUGUCUAAUUUUGACCGUUCGUCUUAUUUAAAUUUUUUUUAAAAAGUUUGAAAACAUAAAUCAUACAUAAAAUACUAUUCAUAUUUUAUCAUCUUAUAACAAUAAAAAUACUAAUUAUAAAAAUAUUUAAAUAAGACGGAUGAUCAAAGUUAGACUCGAAAACUCAUGGUUGCACUUAAA